UGCAGUCGACGAGAUCUUCGGAUCUAGUGGCGCACGGGUGCGUAACGCGUGGGAAUCUGCCCUUAGGUACGGAAUAACAGUGAGAAAUUACUGCUAAUACCGUAUGAUGUCUUCGGACCAAAGAUUUAUCGCCUAAGGAUGAGCCCGCGUUGGAUUAGCUAGUUGGUGGGGUAAAGGCCUACCAAGGCGACGAUCCAUAGCUGGUCUGAGAGGAUGAUCAGCCACACUGGGACUGAGACACGGCCCAGACUCCUACGGGAGGCAGCAGUGGGGAAUAUUGGACAAUGGGGGAAACCCUGAUCCAGCAAUGCCGCGUGAGUGAUGAAGGCCUUAGGGUUGUAAAGCUCUUUUACCCGGGAUGAUAAUGACAGUACCGGGAGAAUAAGCUCCGGCUAACUCCGUGCCAGCAGCCGCGGUAAUACGGAGGGAGCUAGCGUUGUUCGGAAUUACU
Molecule: ribosomal RNA, 451 nt
Filed under: Novosphingobium sp. MBA2.41
Lineage: Bacteria; Pseudomonadati; Pseudomonadota; Alphaproteobacteria; Sphingomonadales; Sphingomonadaceae
Description: bacterial SSU rRNA
Rfam family: Bacterial small subunit ribosomal RNA
Source: RNAcentral